RNAcentral lists this ribosomal RNA (448 nucleotides) under uncultured bacterium. Its description in RNAcentral is "bacterial SSU rRNA". It matches the Rfam family "Bacterial small subunit ribosomal RNA", at positions 64 to 507 of the family's 1533-position model. The record is from RNAcentral.
GAGCGGUAGAGAGAAGCUUGCUUCUCUUGAGAGCGGCGGACGGGUGAGUAAUGCCUAGGAAUCUGCCUGGUAGUGGGGGAUAACGUCCGGAAACGGACGCUAAUACCGCAUACGUCCUACGGGAGAAAGCAGGGAACCUUCGGGCCUUGCGCUAUCAGAUGAGCCUAGGUCGGAUUAGCUAGUUGGUGAGGUAAUGGCUCACCAAGGCGACGAUCCGUAACUGGUCUGAGAGGAUGAUCAGUCACACUGGAACUGAGACACGGUCCAGACUCCUACGGGAGGCAGCAGUGGGGAAUAUUGGACAAUGGGCGAAAGCCUGAUCCAGCCAUGCCGCGUGUGUGAAGAAGGUCUUCGGAUUGUAAAGCACUUUAAGUUGGGAGGAAGGGCAGUUGCCUAAUACGUAACUGUUUUGACGUUACCGACAGAAUAAGCACCGGCUAACUCUGUG